RNAcentral lists this transfer RNA (75 nucleotides) under Verrucomicrobiota bacterium. Its description in RNAcentral is "Verrucomicrobia bacterium (wastewater metagenome) tRNA-Met". It matches the Rfam family "tRNA". Rfam says of the family: Transfer RNA (tRNA) molecules are approximately 80 nucleotides in length. Their secondary structure includes four short double-helical elements and three loops (D, anti-codon, and T loops). Lineage: Bacteria; Pseudomonadati; Verrucomicrobiota. The record is from RNAcentral. RNAcentral also lists the same sequence under 1 other name.
GCCAGGGUAGCUCAGGGGUAGAGCAGAGGACUCAUAAGCCUUUGGUCGGGGGUUCAAUUCCCUCCCCUGGCACCA